Molecule: non-coding RNA, 121 nt
Filed under: Secundilactobacillus kimchicus
Lineage: Bacteria; Bacillati; Bacillota; Bacilli; Lactobacillales; Lactobacillaceae
Also listed under: 1 other name
Description: Lactobacillus kimchicus FMN sequence
Rfam family: FMN riboswitch aptamer (RFN element)
About the family: The RFN element is a highly conserved domain that is found frequently in the 5'-untranslated regions of prokaryotic mRNAs that encode for flavin mononucleotide (FMN) biosynthesis and transport proteins. This element is a metabolite-dependent riboswitch that directly binds FMN in the absence of proteins. In Bacillus subtilis, the riboswitch most likely controls gene expression by causing premature transcription termination within the 5' untranslated region of the ribDEAHT operon and precluding access to the ribosome-binding site of ypaA mRNA.
Source: RNAcentral
GUUCAUCUUCAGGGCAGGGUGUAAUUCCCGACCGGCGGUAAAGCCCGCGACCUAUCUUUAAGAUAGUUGAUUCGGUGAGAUUCCGAAGCCGACAGUAUAGUCUGGUAUGCAGAAGAUUGGG